Molecule: ribosomal RNA, 460 nt
Filed under: uncultured bacterium
Lineage: Bacteria
Description: partial 16S ribosomal RNA
Rfam family: Bacterial small subunit ribosomal RNA
Source: RNAcentral
CCUACGGGAGGCAGCAGUGAGGAAUAUUGGUCAAUGGGCGCGAGCCUGAACCAGCCAAGUCGCGUGAAGGAUGACUGCCCUACGGGUUGUAAACUUCUUUUAUAAAGGAAUAAAGUGAGGCACGUGUGCCUUUUUGUAUGUACUUUAUGAAUAAGGAUCGGCUAACUCCGUGCCAGCAGCCGCGGUAAUACGGAGGAUCCGAGCGUUAUCCGGAUUUAUUGGGUUUAAAGGGGGCGUAGAUGGGUUGUUAAGUCAGUGGUGAAAGUUUGCGGCUCAACCGUAAAAUGGCAAUUGAAACUGGCAGCCUUGAGUACAGGUGAGGUAGGCGGAAUGCGUGGUGUAGCGGUGAAAUGCUUAGAUAUCACGAAGAACUCCGAUUGCGAAGGCAGUUCACCGGACCGCAACUGACACUGAUGCUCGAAAGUGUGGGUAUCAAACAGGAUUAGAUACCCGAGUAGUC